Molecule: ribosomal RNA, 407 nt
Filed under: uncultured bacterium
Lineage: Bacteria
Description: partial 16S ribosomal RNA
Rfam family: Bacterial small subunit ribosomal RNA
Source: RNAcentral
GACGAACGCUGGCGGCGUGCCUAAUACAUGCAAGUAGGACGCAGUUGCGAACGGGGGGGUAAUGCGUAGGUACCUGCCUGUUAUAGGGGGAUAACUAUUUGAAACGAAAGCUAAUACCGCAUACUAGUAGAUGUACCUGCGUUGUAUUAGCUAGUAGGUAGGGUAAAGGCCUACCUAGGCAACGAUACAUAGCCUACCUGAGAGGGUGAUCGGCCACACUGGGACUGAGACACGGCACAGACUCCUACGGGAGGCAGCAGUAGGGAAUCUUCGGCAAUGGGGGGAAGUCUGACCAAGCAACGCCGCGUGAGUGAAGAAGGUUUUCGGUUCGUAAAGCUCUGUUGUUAAGGAAGCGGUACUUAACCAGAAAGGGACGGCUAACUACGUGCCAGCAGCCGCGGUAAUAC